AGAGUUUGAUCCUGGCUCAGAACGAACGCUGGCGGCAUGCCUACACAUGCAAGUCGAACGAACCCUUCGGGGUUAGUGGCGCACGGGUGCGUAACGUGUGGGAAUCUGCCCUUGGGUUCGGAAUAACAGUUAGAAAUGACUGCUAAUACCGGAUGAAGUCUUCGGACCAAAGAUUUAUCGCCCAGGGAUGAGCCCGCGUAGGAUUAGGUAGUUGGUGGGGUAAAGGCCUACCAAGCCGACGAUCCUUAGCUGGUCUGAGAGGAUGAUCAGCCACACUGGGACUGAGACACGGCCCAGACUCCUACGGGAGGCAGCAGUGGGGAAUAUUGGACAAUGGGGGAAACCCUGAUCCAGCAAUGCCGCGUGAGUGAUGAAGGCCUUCGGGUCGUAAAGCUCUUUUACCAGGGAUGAUAAUGACAGUACCUGGAGAAUAAGCUCCGGCUAACUCCGUGCCAGCAGCCGCGGUAAUACGGAGGGAGCUAGCGUUGUUCGGAAUUACUGGGCGUAAAGCGCACGUAGGCGGUUACUCAAGUCAGAGGUGAAAGCCCGGGGCUCAACCCCGGAACUGCCUUUGAAACUAGGUGACUUGAAUCUUGUAGAGGCGAGUGGAAUUCCGAGUGUAGAGGUGAAAUUCAUAGAUAUUCUGAAGAACACCAGUGGCGAAGGCGACUCGCUGGACUAGUAUUGACGCUG
RNAcentral lists this ribosomal RNA (693 nucleotides) under uncultured bacterium. Its description in RNAcentral is "bacterial SSU rRNA". It matches the Rfam family "Bacterial small subunit ribosomal RNA", at positions 8 to 748 of the family's 1533-position model. The record is from RNAcentral.